Molecule: long non-coding RNA, 2690 nt
Organism: Rana temporaria (common frog)
Lineage: Eukaryota; Metazoa; Chordata; Amphibia; Anura; Ranidae
Exons: 3
Source: RefSeq, a predicted model, not a curated record
UCAGUGCCUGUGGGGUGUCAGUUGAUGUGGGGUGUCAGUUGAUGUGGGGUGUCAGUUCAGAGUGGAGUGGCCCUUUAAAAUAUCUGGAUAAGGUAGAAAAGGAGGAGAGAAUUUGGUGAAAUAUUUAUAAUGAUCCAGCGAAGGUGACGCCCGGGGAACACCCAUUACGGAUCAGCGCGUUCGCCUCCACCCCACCCCCACCCCGGAGUUUAUGACAUCAUUGAUUUGAAUCCUUCACAAUUGAGACAAUCGGCAUUUCCUAUCGGAUUUGCUGUCUUCUCGGAGAACAAGGAUCUAAUGAUCAAUAAUUAAAAUCCCUAAUGCUGCCAUGAUGGCCCCGCUUUACAAGGAAUAACAAUGACUCUCCGGCCCCUGCAGCUUCCAAACUCAAUUAAUCCUACCUGUAGACAAAGACCUAAAAGGGCCCCAGAGCCCCGGGGGGCCCGAACUUUGACCUCACAGUGGAUAAGGGCUUGACUUCUUCCACACGACCUUUGCCCCCUGGAAAUCUUUAAAGGCGGUUAUGUGGCAGGGGGUCAGCUGCCGGUUUAUUCAUCGGCUGGGCGAUGGCCUUGAUAGCAGCAGCACAGAGGUGUGUGUGUGUGCCGAGGGCCCCGCCUGAUGGGGGCCACCAGGGCCAGUCUCGGGGGGGGGGAGAGCUCAAGCUGUGUGUGUUACUCCAUACCACCUGUCCUCUCUAUGACAGAAGCCUCUUUAUGGGUUUGUUUACAAGAAUGCAGGCUAUCCUUUCAUAAAUGAAUGAUGAGGAGGACGAGGCAUGGGGCACUCGGAGCAUCAAGCAUGCAUGUGGAGGCCUUAAAGUACAUCCAGUUCAGGGAUUUAUACAGCUCUGCUACACAGCACAGUACUCGAUACAAGAUACAAUGUACUCAGUGCACGACCUGGAACACCCAGGAGAAGACACGGGAGACUCAAUGCAAGACACAUGGCACUCAGGAGAAGACACAGGAGACUUAGGAAGAGGUAGGGGGACACUCAGGAGAAGACACAGGAGACUUAGGAAGAGGUAGGGGACACUCAGGAGAAGACACAGGAGACUUAGGAAGAGGUAGAGGAACACUCAGGAGAAGACACAGGAGACUUAGGAAGAGGUAGAGGGACACUCAGGAGAAGACACAGGAGACUUAGGAAGAGGUAGGGGACACUCAGGAGAAGACACAGGAGACUUAGGAAGAAGAAGGGGACACUCAGGAGAAGACACAGGAGACUUAGGAAGAGGUAGGUGACACUCAGGAGAAGACACAUGGGACUUAGGAAGAGGUAGGGGACACUCAGGAGAAGACACAUGAGACUUAGGAAGAGGUAGGGGACACUCAGGAGAAGACACAGGAGACUUAGGAAGAGGUAGGGGACACUCAGGAGAAGACACAGGAGACUUAGGAAGAAGAAGAAGAAGGGGACACUCAGGAGAAGACACAGGAGACUUAGGAAGAGGUAGGGGACACUCAGGAGAAGACACAUGGGACUUAGGAAGAGGUAGGGGACACUCAGGAGAAGACACAUGAGACUUAGGAAGAGGUAGGGGACACUCAGGAGAAGACACAGGAGACUUAGGAAGAGGUAGGGGACACUCAGGAGAAGACACAGGAGACUUAGGAAGAGGUAGGGGGACACUCAGGAGAAGACACAGGGGACACUCAGGAGAAGACACAGGAGACUUAGGAAGAGGUAGGGGACACCUAGGAGAAGACACAGGAGACUUAGGAAGAGGUAGGGGACACUCAGGAGAAGACACAGGAGACUUAGGAAGAGGUGGGGGACACUCAGGAGAAGACACAGGAGACUUAGGAAGAGGUGGGGGACACUCAGGAGAAGACACAGGAGACUUAGGAAGAGGUAGGGGACACUCAGGAGAAGACACAGGAGACUUAGGAAGAGGUAGAGGGACACUCAGGAGAAGACACAGGAGACUUAGGAAGAGGUAGGGGGACACUCAGGAGAAGACACAGGAGACUUAGGAAGAGGUAGGGGACACUCAGGAGAAGACACAGGAGACUUAGGAAAGGGUAGGGGGACACUCAGGAGAAGACACAGGAGACUUAGGAAGAGGUAGGGGGACACUCAGGAGAAGACACAGGAGACAUAGGAAGAGGUAGGGGACACUCAGGAGAAGACACAGGAGACUUAGGAAGAGGUAGGGGGACACUCAGGAGACUUAGGAAGAGGUAGGGGACACUCAGGAGAAGACACAGGAGACUUAGGAAGAGGUAGGGGACACUCAGGAGAAGACACAGGAGACUUAGGAAGAGGUAGGGGACACUCAGGAGAAGACACAGGAGACUUAGGAAGAGGUAGGGGACACUCAGGAGAAGACACAGGAGACUUAGGAAGAGGUAGGGGGACACUCAGGAGAAGACACAGGAGACUUAGGAAGAGGUAGGGGACACUCAGGAGAAGACACAGGAGACUUAGGAAGAGGUAGGGGACACUCAGGAGAAGACACAGGAGACUUAGGAAGAGGUAGGGGGACACUCAGGAGACUUAGGAAGAGGUAGGGGACACUCAGGAGAAGACACAGGACACUUAGGAAGAGGUAGGGGACACUCAGGAGAAGACACGGGAGACUUAGGAAAGGGUAGGGGACACUCAGUAGAAGACACAGGAGACUUAGGAAGAAGAAAGGGACACCUACAAGGUACAAGGAGUAUUUGUGGGAGACACGGGGAAAU